RNAcentral lists this transfer RNA (64 nucleotides) under Glena unipennaria. RNAcentral's name for it is "tRNA-Thr". The record is from RNAcentral. Lineage: Eukaryota; Metazoa; Arthropoda; Insecta; Lepidoptera; Geometridae.
GUUUUAAUAAUUUAAAUAAAAUAUUGGUCUUGUAAAUCAAAAUUAAGAGUAAUCUUUUAAAACU